UCUUGUGUAAACAGGUGAAACAGCUGGACCCGGGCUCGCACCGCCUGCGGCUGCAGAGGCAGGCGGGCCGUGACGUGGAGGUCCGGCACGUGGCUCCCGGCGAGCUCCUCCGUGACGUGGUCGCUGAUCAGCUGGAGGUGGUUCCAGCUAACGUGUUUACGCUGCACAUGAGGAGAACCGGUGACGUCGCCGACUUUGGUUUUGCAGUAACGGGACACGUCGACAGCCAGAAGAACAGCAGGAUAUUUGUCAGUGAAGUUCUCCCUGAAGGACUGGCCUUUAAUGAGGGUACUCGCUGCUUAAUUCUGACCCCUAAACACAUGACC
Long non-coding RNA from Austrofundulus limnaeus, 326 nucleotides. RefSeq lists it as uncharacterized. Lineage: Eukaryota; Metazoa; Chordata; Actinopteri; Cyprinodontiformes; Rivulidae. The transcript has 3 exons. The record is from RefSeq and is a predicted model, not a curated record.